RNAcentral lists this ribosomal RNA (478 nucleotides) under Salmonella enterica. RNAcentral describes it as "partial 23S ribosomal RNA". It matches the Rfam family "Bacterial large subunit ribosomal RNA", at positions 440 to 818 of the family's 2925-position model. The record is from RNAcentral. Lineage: Bacteria; Pseudomonadati; Pseudomonadota; Gammaproteobacteria; Enterobacterales; Enterobacteriaceae.
GAAUAUGGGGGGACCAUCCUCCAAGGCUAAAUACUCCUGACUGACCGAUAGUGAACCAGUACCGUGAGGGAAAGGCGAAAAGAACCCCGGCGAGGGGAGUGAAAAAGAACCUGAAACCGUGUACGUACAAGCAGUGGGAGCCCCACCACCAAAGCAUUCUCUGGUGUUGAAGGCCCUGCAAAGCAGCAUCGCGGUGGCGGAGCGUCGUUUGCGACGCCCAACACACAAAACAAGCGGUGAGUGCUUUGGGGUGGGGUGACUGCGUACCUUUUGUAUAAUGGGUCAGCGACUUAUAUUCUGUAGCAAGGUUAACCGUAUAGGGGAGCCGUAGGGAAACCGAGUCUUAACCGGGCGUUAAGUUGCAGGGUAUAGACCCGAAACCCGGUGAUCUAGCCAUGGGCAGGUUGAAGGUUGGGUAACACUAACUGGAGGACCGAACCGACUAAUGUUGAAAAAUUAGCGGAUGACCUGUGGCUGG